This 72-nucleotide transfer RNA is filed under the name Heterocephalus glaber (naked mole-rat). It matches the Rfam family "tRNA". Rfam says of the family: Transfer RNA (tRNA) molecules are approximately 80 nucleotides in length. Their secondary structure includes four short double-helical elements and three loops (D, anti-codon, and T loops). The record is from Rfam by way of RNAcentral. Lineage: Eukaryota; Metazoa; Chordata; Mammalia; Rodentia; Bathyergidae.
UGGAAUUUAGCUUAUUGGUAAAGCAUUUGUCUAGCAUGCAUGAGACCCUGGAUUCGAUCCCCAGCAUUGCAA